This 467-nucleotide ribosomal RNA is filed under the name uncultured bacterium. Its description in RNAcentral is "partial 16S ribosomal RNA". It matches the Rfam family "Bacterial small subunit ribosomal RNA", at positions 28 to 506 of the family's 1533-position model. The record is from RNAcentral.
GACGAACGCUGGCGGCGUGCUUAACACAUGCAAGUCGAACGGAAAGGCCCUGCUUUUGUGGGGUGCUCGAGUGGCGAACGGGUGAGUAACACGUGAGUAACCUGCCCUUGACUUUGGGAUAACUUCAGGAAACUGGGGCUAAUACCGGAUAGGAGCUCCUGCUGCAUGGUGGGGGUUGGAAAGUUUCGGCGGUUGGGGAUGGACUCGCGGCUUAUCAGCUUGUUGGUGGGGUAGUGGCUUACCAAGGCUUUGACGGGUAGCCGGCCUGAGAGGGUGACCGGCCGCAUUGGGACUGAGAUACGGCCCAGACUCCUACGGGAGGCAGCAGUGGGGAAUAUUGCACAAGGGGCGGAAGCCUGAUGCAGCAACGCCGCGUGCGGGAGGACGGCCUUCGGGUUGUAAACCGCUUUCGCCUGUGACGAAGCGUGAGUGACGGUAAUGGGUAAAGAAGCACCGGCUAACUACGU